CCCUUUAAGAGCUGGGCACGACCUUGUCCACUGUGACCUUCAGGGCCAGCCUGCACCCCCAGGGCCAAGGCUGUGCUGAUGUUCUGACAUUUCCAUGGUGACCCAUCAUGCCCGCCCACCGUGACCCGGUGCCCAGAAUCCGUCAAUGAGUCAUCUAUUAACAGACUCUCGAGGCCGCAGCUGGCCUGGGCCUGGAUGUGGUCACCUCAGACCCAAAAUGGAGGCCUCCUGGGGAUGGAGGCCUCCAUUCCACUGGAGGUCCAGUGUCCCCGAAAAGAUUCUAAAAUUCUAAACCCAGGAACCUGGAAAUACCCGCAUAGGUGGAAGCUCCGGCUGAUAACGGAGGGUCCAGGGCAGAGGAUGUGAUGAAGUUAAGGAUUGUGGGGAGGAGCUUAUCCUGCAUUAUCCCCCUGGGUCCUAAAAGCCUCAUUUGUGUCUUCGUAAGAGAGAGGCAGGAGAAGGUGAUGCUGGGCCACAUGAAGAUGGAGCAGAUUCAGAUGAGGCCACAGCAAAGGGACGCCAGGAGCCAGGAGACGCUGGCUGAGACAAGGGUGCAUCCGUUCCCAGAGCCUUUGGAAGGAGUGUGGCUGCCACCCGGACUUUGGACUUGUGGCCUCCAGACCGAGGAGGCCACCCAGCGUGUGGCGCUUGGCCAGCUGCCCCGGGGGCACAGACAUGGGAGUGCUGACCUCUGCACCUCUGAUCUCCUGCUGUCCCGGCUGGUGUUUGCUGCUCUCCUGCCCACCUGGCCGAGCACAUUCCCCACGUCUCUUCCGUGCCCGUCUCUGUGCCCAGACACCCAACAGCGAGCUGUCCCCAAAGGUAAAAGCAAGAAGCAUAUCUGUCACCGGGCACACACUGUCCCCAGCUGCUGCGUGUGUGGAACACCCUCCUCGUGGGCAGCUGCAUGAGGGACAGACAAGAGCUCUGAGAAGGGACCGUCCUCCUGGCCCCAGCUCCUCAGACAGCGAAACUUUCCAUUUUCAGGGUCCAUCAUGCACCAGUGAGUCAAGUCAUUGUGGUGUGGACAUGGGGACAGACAGACUGGUCAGCAGGACAGAACAGGAAUCCCAGAGAUAUCCCCAGAUCAUCUUUGUCAAAGGCACAAAAAUGCAUCAGCAGGAAAGACAACAAUGGUACUGGGCAGACACCCACGGGCAAAAUGUGGGCCUUGACCUGUGUCUCACGCCUUGCACAGAAAUUAACUCGGGGCUGGUUGCAGAUUAACUGCAAAGGGUAAAUGAUAAAACUUAACAAAAAUUCACAGGAUCCCAGGUUAGGGGGAAAUUUUAAAUAUGGCAAUGGAGGUACAACCCACAAGAGGAAAGAUGGGUGAACCAGACUUCAAAAUUAAAACUUCUGCUCUGGAAAAAGUCUUGUGCAGUGCUGGCUUUGACACACAUAUACUAAAAAGCCUUGCACCCGGGGUGAAAGGCCAUGCUGCAGAGGAUGAGGGUGUUUGCAAACCACUUACCCGACGAAGGACAGGAACCUGGAAUAUGCAGAGAACUCUCAGAACCCAGCACUUGGGAGGCUGAGGCAGGAGAAUCACUGUGAGUAGAGGCCAGCCUGAGCUACAUAGUCAGUUCAAGGCCAGCCUGAACUACGUAGCGAGACGC
Chinchilla lanigera (long-tailed chinchilla) is the source of this 1619-nucleotide long non-coding RNA. The record is from Ensembl. NCBI's taxonomy places the organism in Eukaryota, Metazoa, Chordata, Mammalia, Rodentia, Chinchillidae.